UCAAGUGACUAAGCGCAUGCGGUAGAUGCCUUGGCGAUCACAGGCGAUGAAAGACGUGGUAGCCUGCGAAAAGCUUCGGGGAGUUGGCAAACAAGCGUUGAUCCGAAGAUCUCUGAAUGGGGAAACCCACCCGUUAAGGGUAUUACUGGCUGAAUCCAUAGGUCAGUAAAGCGAACCUAGGGAACUGAAACAUCUAAGUACCUAGAGGAACAGAAAUCAACCGAGAUUCCGUUAGUAGCGGCGAGCGAACGCGGACCAGCCACUUGCAUUUAGCUUUCGUGUUAGAGAAACAGGUCUGGAAAGACUGGCGAUACAGGGUGAUAGCCCCGUACUCGAAAACACGAAAGUGGAACCAGGGCAAGAAUAAGUAGGGCGGAACACGUGAAACUCUGUCUGAACAAGGGGGGACCAUCCUCCAAGGCUAAAUACUCGUGAUCGACCGAUAGCGAACCAGUACCGUGAGGGAAAGGUGAAAAGAACCCCGGCGAGGGGAGUGAAAUAGAACCUGAAACCGCAUGCGUACAAGCAGUCGAAGCCUCCUUGAGAGGUGACGGCGUACCUUUUGUAUAAUGGGUCAGCGACUUACUUUCAGUGGCAAGCUUAACCAGCUAGGGGAAGCGUAGGGAAACCGAGUCUUAAUAGGGCGACCAGUCGCUGGGAGUAGACCCGAAACCGAGCGAUCUAUCCAUGGUCAGGCUGAAGGUGCGGUAACACGCACUGGAGGGCCGAACCCACGUCUGUUGAAAAAGACGGGGAUGAACUGUGGAUCGGAGUGAAAGGCUAAUCAAGCUCGGAGAUAGCUGGUUCUCCCCGAAAGCUAUUGAGGUAGCGCCUCGUGUCUCACUCCCGGGGGUAGAGCACUGUUUCGGCUAGGGGGCCAUACCGGCUUACCAACCCGAGGCAAACUCCGAAUACCGGGAAGUGCAAUCACGGGAGACACACGGCGGGUGCGAACGUCCGUCGUGGAAAGGGAAACAACCCAGACCGCCAGCUAAGGUCCCCAAGUUUUGGCUCAGUGGGAAACGAUGUGGGAAGGCCCAGACAGCCAGGAGGUUGGCUUAGAAGCAGCCAUCCUUUAAAGAAAGCGUAAUAGCUCACUGGUCAAGUCGGCCUGCGCGGAAGAUUCAACGGGGCUUAAGCCAAACACCGAAGCUGCGGAUGCCGUAAGGCAUGGUAGGGGAGCGUUCCGUACGCCUGUGAAGGUUCAUCGUGAGAUGGGCUGGAGGUAUCGGAAGUGCGAAUGCUGACAUGAGUAACGAUCAUGCGGGUGAAAACCCCGCACGCCGAAUGCCCAAGGGUUCCUGCGCAACGUCAAUCGGCGCAGGGUGAGUCGGCCCCUAAGACGAGGCCGAAAGGCGUAGUCGAUGGGAAACCGGUCAACAAUCCGGUACUAAUGUACACUGCGAUGGGGGGACGGAGAAGGCUAAGCGAUCCGGCGGUUGGAUGGGCCGGUUCAAGCGUGUAGACAGACCUGCCUGGUAAAUCCGGUCGGUUAAUGUCGAGACGUGAUAACGAGUCCUACGGGAUGAAGUCGCCAAUGCCCUGCUUCCAGGAAAAGCCUCUAAGCUUCAGGUGUUCAUUACCCGUACCCCAAACCGACACAGGUGGGCAAGGUGAGAAUCCUCAGGCGCUGGAGAAAACUUGGGUGAAGGAACUCGGCAAAAUAGCACCGUAACUUCGGGAGAAGGUGCGCCUGUAGUACGUGAAAGCCCUCGCGGCCGAAGCGGACGCAGGCUGCAAUAACCAGGUGGCUGCGACUGUUUAUUAAAAACAUAGCACUCUGCCAAGACGAAAGUCGACGUAUAGGGUGUGACGCCUGCCCGGUGCCGGAAGGUUAAUUGAUGGGGUUAGCGUAAGCAAAGCUCUUGAUCGAAGCCCCGGUAAACGGCGGCCGUAACUAUAACGGUCCUAAGGUAGCGAAAUUCCUUGUCGGGUAAGUUCCGACCUGCACGAAUGGCACCUUUACUAUAGCUUUACACUGAAUUUUGAGUCUUCUUGUGUAGGAUAGGUGGGAGGCUGUGAAACCAGAACGCCAGUUUUGGUGGAGCCAUCCUUGAAAUACCACCCUGGGAUACUUGAGGUUCUAACCCAGGUCCCUGAUCGGGAUCGGGAACCGUGUAUGGUGGGUAGUUUGACUGGGGCGGUCUCCUCCCAAAGCGUAACGGAGGAGUGCGAAGGUGCCCUCAGCGCGGUCGGAAAUCGCGCACUGCGUGCAAAGGCAUAAGGGCGCUUGACUGCGAGACAGACACGUCAAGCAGGUGCGAAAGCAGGUCUUAGUGAUCCGGUGGUUCCUGAUGGAAGGGCCAUCGCUCAACGGAUAAAAGGUACUCCGGGGAUAACAGGCUGAUACUGCCCAAGAGUCCAUAUCGACGGCAGUGUUUGGCACCUCGAUG
This 2393-nucleotide ribosomal RNA is filed under the name oral metagenome. Its description in RNAcentral is "bacterial LSU rRNA". It matches the Rfam family "Bacterial large subunit ribosomal RNA", at positions 3 to 2531 of the family's 2925-position model. The record is from RNAcentral.